AUUGAACGCUGGCGGCAUGCUUUACACAUGCAAGUCGAACGGUAACAGGUUAAGCUGACGAGUGGCGAACGGGUGAGUAAUGCAUCGGAACGUGCCCGGUCGUGGGGGAUAACGCAGCGAAAGCUGCGCUAAUACCGCAUACGAUCUAAGGAUGAAAGCUGGGGACCGUAAGGCCUCGCGCGAUCGGAGCGGCCGAUGUCAGAUUAGGUAGUUGGUGGGGUAAAGGCACACCAAGCCAACGAUCUGUAGCUGGUCUGAGAGGACGACCAGCCACACGGGGACUGAGACACGGCCCAGACUCCUGCGGGAGGCAGCAGUGGGGAAUUUUGGACAAUGGGCGAAAGCCUGAUUCAGCAAUGCCGCGUGCAGGAAGAAGGCCUUCGGGUUGUAAACUGCUUUUGUACGGAGCGAAAAGGUCUCCUCUAAUACAGGGGGCUCAUGACGGUACCGUAAGAAUAAGCACCGGCUAACUACGUGCCAGCAGCCGCCGUAA
This 493-nucleotide ribosomal RNA is filed under the name uncultured bacterium. RNAcentral describes it as "partial 16S ribosomal RNA". It matches the Rfam family "Bacterial small subunit ribosomal RNA", at positions 29 to 523 of the family's 1533-position model. The record is from RNAcentral.